GAUGAACGCUGGCGGCGUGCCUAAUACAUGCAAGUCGAGCGAACGGACGAGAAGCUUGCUUUUCUGAUGUUAGCGGCGGACGGGCGAGUAACACGUGGAUAACCUACCUAUAAGACUGGGAUAACUUCGGGAAACCGGAGCUAAUACCGGAUAAUAUUUUGAACCGCAUGGUUCAAAAGUGGAAGACGGUCUUGCUGUCACUUAUAGAUGGAUCCGCGCUGCAUUAGCUAGUUGGUAAGGUAACGGCUUACCAAGGCAACGAUGCAUAGCCGACCUGAGAGGGUGAUCGGCCACACUGGAACUGAGACACGGUCCAGACUCCUACGGGAGGCAGCAGUAGGGAAUCUUCCGCAAUGGGCGAAAGCCUGACGGAGCAACGCCGCGUGAGUGAUGAAGGUCUUCGGAUCGUAAAACUCUGUUAUUAGGGAAGAACAUAUGUGUAAGUAACUGUGCACAUCUUGACGGUACCUAAUCAGAAAGCCACGGCUAACUACGUG
Molecule: ribosomal RNA, 497 nt
Filed under: uncultured bacterium
Lineage: Bacteria
Description: partial 16S ribosomal RNA
Rfam family: Bacterial small subunit ribosomal RNA
Source: RNAcentral